Molecule: ribosomal RNA, 198 nt
Filed under: uncultured bacterium
Lineage: Bacteria
Description: partial 16S ribosomal RNA
Rfam family: Bacterial small subunit ribosomal RNA
Source: RNAcentral
ACGCUCGACACCUACGGGAGGCAGCAGUGGGGAAUAUUGCACAAUGGGGGAAACCCUGAUGCAGUGACGCCGCGUGAAGGAAGAAGUAUCUCGGUAUGUAAACUUCUAUCAGCCAGGGAAGAAAAUGACGGUACCUGACUAAGAAGCCCCGGCUAACUACGUGCCACAGCCGCGGUAAUCUGAGCGGGCUGGCAAGGC